ACGGGACACCUGCAUCUGCCAACAAGACUGGAAGCAGGUGAGGCACACAGAGGGGGAGGCCCGCAGCUGCGUGGGAGGAGGGGUGGUCUGAGGGACGUGGGAUGCCGGGAAUGAGGCUGGUUUGCAGGUUGGCGCAUGGACAUUUUCCCAGAAAGGGACAGAGACGGCGAAGUUUGACGGUCUGGAAAGCAGAGACCAGCAGGGCUGACUGCUUGGGAGGUAAGUUCUGGGGACAUGGUACAGGGUGAGGAGCAGGUAUCAGUGCUAGUUGCGACCCCUCUGUGUCUCCCCCCCGCCACCCCAUUGCCAUUCUGAAGCUCCCCAGGAAGAAGCUAGGAGGGGAAAUAAAUUGAGUGGGGGUGGGGUUUCCCAAGAAUCGGAGGAACCGAGAACGAAGAGGGGUGGGGGAACGGGGAAAGAGAGAGGAAAAUCAAGUUUUCUUCAGCACGAGGGACAGCUCUCCACCGACCGAAGGAGGAGAAUGCUAUUUAUUUCAGCACCAAAUAUCCGGACAGCGCCUCUCGGGAGGUCCGAGAAGAGAACCGCGAUCUGUUUCAGCACCGGGGCUCAGGACAGUUCCCAGCGGGCUCCGUUUCGUCUCCAGAACCCUGGACAGCUCCUCCAGAGACGGGGUUUCACCAUGUUGGCCAGGCUGGUCUCAAACUCUUGACCUCUUCAUCCGUCCACCUCAGCCUCCCAAAGUGCUAGGAUUACAGGCGUGAGUCACUGCGCCUGGCCCAAGUCCGGAAUUUUCAACAGGUAAGAUACCUCACUGGGGUAACAGCUGCCUGCUAAGAUGACAUUAUGGUGUCUCUUCCAGACUUCGGUGAGAAACCUUGUGCCAAGCAUUUUACAUACAUCAUAUCAUGCCAUCUUCAACCCUAGGACAUGGGUGUUACUGUGCCCAUGUGACAUUUGGGGAACCCAAGGCCCUGAGAAAGGCAGAAAAAUAACCCACGCAGGGACUCUCAGCCCACAAGUGAAGCUGUAAGUCAACCCCACCAGUCCAACUCCAAAUCCCAUGUCUCUGACGUGCCUGGGUGGGAGGUGGGCCCUUGGAGAUCAGACCCUGCUUCUCUCCAGGAGAACCGGGAAUGGAAAACAGGGAGGCAGCACAGAGGCAGGAAACUCAGGUGUCAUAGCUUGGCUCAGGUGAGAAGGAGGAGCUGGGCAGGGGUCUCAGACAUGGGGCAGAGGGUGGUGAAGAAGAUUAGAGUGGCUGUGGUCUAGUGCUGUGUGGAAGACUAGUGAUUUUGUUGUUCUGAUGUACUACGACAACAAGUCACAGCCGGCCUCAUAGCGCAGACUCCCUUCGACCUUCGCCUUCAAUGGGCUGGCCAGUGGGGGAGAACCGGGGAGGUCGGGGAAGAAUCGCUUCCACUCGGAGUGGGGGGGCUGGCUCACUCCAGGCGAUACAGGCACAGGCAAAGGAGGGAAGCAAACAAGGACAUACAUCCUGUGCUCAUACAGCCAUGCACCAUGUAUGGGGUUUGUCACAUCACUCGUACGCCCCCACAAGCCUGGAGAUAGAACAUACCUGACUCUAAACCCAAGACCUCUAACCACCUUAUGGCGCUUUCCUGGGAGACCCAAUGAGGGAAUGACAUUUAAAGCCCUCCCUAGACCAGAGUUCUCAGGGUACUUUUCUAUUAAAAAAAAAAUUAUUAUUUUUUUGGCCGGGUGGCUCACGCCUGUCAUCCCAGCACUUUGGGAGGCCAAGGCAGGUGGACCACUUGAGGCCAGGAGUUCAAGACCAGCCUGGACAACAUGGUGAAACUCCAUUUCUCCUAAAAAUACAAAAAUUAGCUGGGCGUUGUGGCACACACCUGUAGUCCCAGCUACUCGGGAGGCUGAGGCAUGGGAAUCCCUUGAACCCAGGAGGCAGAGGCUGCAUGACCCAAGAUUGCACCACUGCACUCCAGCCUG
RNAcentral lists this long non-coding RNA (1926 nucleotides) under Homo sapiens (human). RNAcentral's name for it is "non-protein coding MIR7-3HG:16". The stretch from base 1223 to 1309 matches the Rfam family "mir-7 microRNA precursor family". The record is from RNAcentral. Lineage: Eukaryota; Metazoa; Chordata; Mammalia; Primates; Hominidae.